GACGAACGCUGGCGGCGUGCUUAACACAUGCAAGUCGAGCGGUAAGGCCCUUUCGGGGGUACGACGAGCGGCGAACGGGUGAGUAACACGUGGGUGACCUGCCCUCAGCUCUGGGAGUAAGCCUCGGGAAACCGGGUACUAAUACUGGAUAUGACUCCAUGACGCAUGUUGGUGGGGUGGAAAGCCUUGUGCGGCUGAGGAUGGGCCCGCGGCCUAUCAGCUUGUUGGUGGGGUGAGGCCUACCAAGGCGACGACGAGUAGCCGGCCUGAGAGGGCGACCGGCCACACUGGGACUGAGACACGGCCCAGACUCCUACGGGAGGGCAGCA
Molecule: ribosomal RNA, 329 nt
Filed under: uncultured bacterium
Lineage: Bacteria
Description: bacterial SSU rRNA
Rfam family: Bacterial small subunit ribosomal RNA
Source: RNAcentral